GCUUACGACCACACCAGCCUGAGUACGCCUGAUCUCGGAAGCUAAGCAUGGUCGGGCCUGGUUAGUACUUGGAUGGGAGACCGCCUGGGAAUACCAGAUGCUGUAAGCU
RNAcentral lists this ribosomal RNA (109 nucleotides) under Oncorhynchus kisutch (coho salmon). Lineage: Eukaryota; Metazoa; Chordata; Actinopteri; Salmoniformes; Salmonidae. The record is from RNAcentral.